This 1467-nucleotide ribosomal RNA is filed under the name metagenome. Its description in RNAcentral is "bacterial LSU rRNA". It matches the Rfam family "Bacterial large subunit ribosomal RNA", at positions 1390 to 2910 of the family's 2925-position model. The record is from RNAcentral.
UCUAAGGGAAUGCCGAAAGGCUUUACCGAUGACAAGCCAGUUAAUAUUCUGGCACUGGCUGUAUGACUGCGAAUGUGACGAAAGAGUGAAAGGUACGCGCACUGACGGAAUAGUGCGUUUAAGGGUGUAGAAGCGAUUCGAACCUGAAAGUACAGUGAACCUUCGGGGGAUCUGAUAGUUACUGUAAACAUAUUUCCAAGAAAAGCAUUUCAAGGGUAUCAUACAGGCACCCGUACCGUAAACCGACACAGGUGGUUGGGUAGAAUAUACUAAGGCGCUCGGGAGAUCCAUGGCCAAGGAACUCGGCAAAUUAGACCUGUAACUUCGGGAUAAAGGUCGCUCACGCAAGUGAGCCGCAGAGAAUAGGCCCAGGCGACUGUUUACCAAAAACACAGGGCUUUGCCAAAUCGUAAGAUGAUGUAUAAGGCCUGACACCUGCCCGGUGCUGGAAGGUUAAGGGGGGAUGUUAGCUGCAAGGCGACGCAUUGAACUGAAGCCCCAGUAAACGGCGGCCGUAACAAUAACGGUCCUAAGGUAGCGAAAUUCCUUGUCGGGUAAGUUCCGACCUGCACGAAUGGUGUAACGAUCUGGGCACUGUCUCGGCCAUGGCCCCGGUGAAAUUGCAGUAUCGGUGAAGAUACCGAUUACCCGCAACGGGACGGAAAGACCCCGUGAACCUUUACUAUAGCUUAGCAUUGGAUUUGGGCAGAUGAUGUGUAGGAUAGGUGGGAGACGUUGAUGAUGCCUCGCUAGGGGUAUUUUAGUCGUCCUUGAAAUACCACCCUUUAUCUGUUUGGAUUCUAACCUGAGAAAUCGGGGACAUUGCUUGGUGGGUAGUUUGACUGGGGUGGUCGCCUCCAAAAGAGUAACGGAGGCUUCCCAAGGUACCCUCAGGACGAUUGGUAACCGUCCGUAGAGUGCAAUGGCACAAGGGUGCUUGACUGUGAGGCCAACAAGCCGACCAGGUGCGAAAGCAGGGCAUAGUGAUCCGGUGGUUCCGUAUGGAAGGGCCAUCGCUCAAAGGAUAAAAGGUACUCCGGGGAUAACAGGCUGAUCACUCCCAAGAGCUCACAUCGACGGAGUGGUUUGGCACCUCGAUGUCGGCUCGUCACAUCCUGGGGCUGGAGAAGGUUCCAAGGGUUGGGCUGUUCGCCCAUUAAAGUGGCACGCGAGCUGGGUUCAGAACGUCGUGAGACAGUUCGGUCCCUAUCUGUUGUGGGCGUGGGAAACUUGAGAGGACCUGGCACUAGUACGAGAGGACCGUGCUGGACGGGCCGCUGGUGUAUGAGUUGUUCCGCCAGGAGCAUCGCUCAGUAGCUAAGCCCGGCAGUGAUAAGCGCUGAAAGCAUCUAAGCGCGAAACACCCCUCAAGAUAAGGUUUCCAUAUAGGGUCGCCAAAAGACGAUGGCGUUGAUAGGCCGUAGGUGUAAAGACAGCGAUGUCAAAGCCGAGCGGUACUAAUUGCCC